This 419-nucleotide ribosomal RNA is filed under the name bacterium. RNAcentral's name for it is "partial 16S ribosomal RNA". It matches the Rfam family "Bacterial small subunit ribosomal RNA", at positions 355 to 776 of the family's 1533-position model. The record is from RNAcentral.
UGGGGGAUAUUGCACAAUGGGCGAAAGCCUGAUGCAGCGACGCCGCGUGGGGGAUGAAGGCCUUCGGGUUGUAAACUUCUUUUGCUCUGAACAAGGCAUGCUAAUGGGUGUGUUGAGUGUAGGGGUUGAUUAGCGCCGGGUAACUACGUGCCAGCAGCCGCGGUAAUACGUAGGGCGCGAGCGUUGUCCGGAAUUAUUGGGCGUAAAGGGCUUGUAGGUGGCUGGUUGCGUCUGUCGUGAAAGCUCAUGGCUUAACUGUGGGUUUGCGGUGGGUACGGGCUGGCUUGAGUGCAGUAGGGGAGGCUGGAAUUCCUGGUGUAGCGGUGGAAUGCGCAGAUAUCAGGAGGAAUACCGGUGGCGAAGGCGGGUCUCUGGGCUGUUACUGACACUGAGGAGCGAAAGCAUGGGGAGCGAACAGG